ACCACCCUGAUCCACCUCUGCCUCCACUUCCUCAAAUGGUUGUACACCUAGGUGCCAGUCACCUCAUUGCCUGAGAAUUCAUCUAAGGAAUGAAUCAUCAUAGCACACUAGUCCAAUGACUCAAAUUCAAAUGAAAUAGAAUGAAUGAAUCAUAAUAGCACACUUGUCCAAUGACUCAAGUACAAAUGAAAUAGAAAGAAUAAAUCAUCAUAGCACACUUGUCCAAUGUCUGAAGGUAAGAAAGAAAUAGAAU
Molecule: long non-coding RNA, 253 nt
Filed under: Setaria viridis
Lineage: Eukaryota; Viridiplantae; Streptophyta; Magnoliopsida; Poales; Poaceae
Description: long non-coding RNA (SVIR_LNC004369)
Source: RNAcentral